Molecule: long non-coding RNA, 1165 nt
Filed under: Mus pahari (shrew mouse)
Lineage: Eukaryota; Metazoa; Chordata; Mammalia; Rodentia; Muridae
Description: predicted gene 16152 (MGP_PahariEiJ_G0003577.1)
Source: RNAcentral
GCUUUUCUCCAACUGCAACUCCGUGGGGGCUGUGGGUGGCGCUACUUCUGUAAUCCUCUCUCUAACACAGUCAUAUGUGAGUGUUAGUGCAUUAAAAUGCUAGAUUUGCUUAAUGAGUGCCUGGUGAUAAUGCAGCCACAGAAUGAGAGGGGUCUUAUUCCAUUUGCUUCUGCAGAUCACAGGUCCACUCCACAGGCAGGAAAAGUCAACAGGGUCUCCUACUAGACAGUAGGAGGAGGCCAACCCCAAGGGAAGCCGUGCCACAGUGAUGACUGAAAUGGGACCAAUCCCGAUGACCAGCCCUGAAGGUCAGACACCUGCAGAAGCUGAAGAGUGUGGAGCACCUGCUGGCCUUUCCCGAUAAAGCCACACGGGACUCAGCCUGGGGCAGCCUCUAACUCCAGCAUCCUUUCAAUAUAAAAUACCAAUGGGGAAGAAAUGGGAGGAUGGAAAUGGCUGGGAAUGUGAAGAAGUUGAAGGAGAAGAGGCAUGCCAGUUUCUACGUGGAAGGAGAGCCUGGACUCCAUCAAAGACGUUCAUUUGGGAAAGAGGAAAGCAUAGCAAGACAUCUCCAGCUUCCCCAGCUCGACAACCAUUGCUACAAGGCAACCUGCCCUGGAGUGGAGCAAGUGGUGAACCUUUAUAAGACAUCCUUGCCUUCUGAAUCCAGAAGAAGGUGCCAGAAAUGAGUGCUACUGCGCAUGAUGUUAAAUACAAUAGACAGUAAAUGCCAAAUGACCAAAGUCACAGGUUUACAGAGUUCUCAAGUAAUGAAUGAAAACGCACCGUUAGACAUGCUGAUUCACUGGGACAUGUGAGUUCGAAAAUUUAUCUAGCAGGAGAUGUUAAAGCCAUAUGCAACAGUGGAUGAGAACAAUAGCUUUCCCUCAAAAAUGAAUGCGCACCACACUGCAAUCUGCACUGGCUCUGAGUCACAUGCUCAGUAAGCUGCUGCUUAAGGCAGGCUCAGCUGGAAACUCUUACCCAGGCAGCCAGGAGAGCCAGGGCUACUGCACUGUCCCAUGGAGUCCCACCUGCUGUGUCCUUAAACUGGGCCUUUACCUUCUCCUCCCCCUGCUAUCCAGUGCUGCUCUUCCUGAGGUGACAUGGGUAAUACCAUUUACCACAGGGCUCCACAGACAGUAGUAACCACCCAGGUCAUUGC